RNAcentral lists this ribosomal RNA (453 nucleotides) under uncultured Anoxybacillus sp. RNAcentral's name for it is "bacterial SSU rRNA". It matches the Rfam family "Bacterial small subunit ribosomal RNA", at positions 930 to 1382 of the family's 1533-position model. The record is from RNAcentral. Lineage: Bacteria; Bacillati; Bacillota; Bacilli; Caryophanales; Anoxybacillaceae.
CGGUGGAGCAUGUGGCUUAAUUCGAAGCAACGCGAAGAACCUUACCAGGUCUUGACAUCCCUGACAACCCGAGAGAUCGGGCGUUCCCCUUCGGGGGACAGGGUGACAGGUGGUGCAUGGUUGUCGUCAGCUCGUGUCGUGAGAUGUUGGGUUAAGUCCCGCAACGAGCGCAACCCUCGACCUUAGUUGCCAGCAUUCAGUUGGGCACUCUAAGGUGACUGCCGGCUAAAAGUCGGAGGAAGGUGGGGAUGACGUCAAAUCAUCAUGCCCCUUAUGACCUGGGCUACACACGUGCUACAAUGGGCGGUACAAAGGGUCGCGAACCCGCGAGGGGGAGCCAAUCCCAAAAAGCCGCUCUCAGUUCGGAUUGCAGGCUGCAACUCGCCUGCAUGAAGCCGGAAUCGCUAGUAAUCGCGGAUCAGCACGCCGCGGUCGAAUACGUUCCCGGGCCUU